GAAAUGCGAUAAGUAAUGUGAAUUGCAGAAUUCAGUGAAUCAUCGAAUCUUUGAACGCACAUUGCGCCCGCCAGUAUUCUGGCGGGCAUGCCUGUCCGAGCGUCAUUUCAACCAUCAAGCCCCCGGGCUUGUGUUGGGGACCUGCGGCUGCCCGCAGGCCCUGAAAACCAGUGGUGGGCUCGCUGUCACACCGAGCGUAGUAGCAAUCACCUCGCUCAGGGCGUGCUGCGGGUUCCGGCCGUUAAACAGCCUUACAAAACCCAAGGUUGACCUCGGAUCAGGUAUGAAGAACCGCUGAACUUGAGC
Molecule: unclassified non-coding RNA, 306 nt
Filed under: plant metagenome
Description: partial contains 5.8S ribosomal RNA, internal transcribed spacer 2, and large subunit ribosomal RNA
Rfam family: 5.8S ribosomal RNA (bases 1-105)
Source: RNAcentral